AGAGUUUGAUCAUGGCUCAGGAUGAACGCUGGCGGCGCGCCUAACACAUGCAAGUCGAACGGUUAAAGCACCUUCGGGUGUGUAUAAAGUGGCGAACGGCUGAGUAACACGUGGGCAACCUGCCUCUUGCUCUGGGAUAGCCUCGGGAAACCGAGGAUAAUACCGGAUACUCCGUACCUUUCGCAUGGAGGGGACGGGAAAGCGCAUACGGCAAGAGAUGGGCCCGCGGCCUGUUAGCUUGUUGGUGGGGUAACGGCCUACCAAGGCAAUGAUGGGUAGCUGGGUUGAGAGACCGACCAGCCAGAUUGGGACUGAGACACGGCCCAGACUCCUACGGGAGGCAGCAGUGGGGAAUCUUGCACAAUGGGCGAAAGCCUGAUGCAGCGACGCCGCGUGCGGGAUGAAGGCCCUAUGGGUUGUAAACCGCUUUCAGCAGGGAAGAGGCCGCAAGGUGACGGUACCUGCAGAAGAAGCCCCGGCUAACUACGUGCCAGCAGCCGCGGUAAUACGUAGGGGGCAAGCGUUAUCCGGAUUCAUUGGGCGUAAAGCGCUCGUAGGCGGCUUGUUAGGUCGGGAGUCAAAUCCCGGGGCUCAACCCCGGCACGCUUCCGAUACCGGCAGGCUUGAGUUUGGUAGGGGAAAGUGGAAUUCCAAGUGUAGCGGUGGAAUGCGCAGAUAUUUGGAAGAACACCAGUGGCGAAGGCGGCUUUCUGGGCCAUAACUGACGCUGAGGAGCGAAAGCUAGGGGAGCAAACAGGAUUAGAUACCCUGGUAGUCCUAGCCGUAAACGAUGGACACUAGGUGUGGGGGAAUAUUUCUUCCGUGCCGCAGCUAACGCAUUAAGUGUCCCGCCUGGGGAGUACGGCCGCAAGGCUAAAACUCA
This 883-nucleotide ribosomal RNA is filed under the name uncultured bacterium. RNAcentral's name for it is "bacterial SSU rRNA". It matches the Rfam family "Bacterial small subunit ribosomal RNA", at positions 8 to 903 of the family's 1533-position model. The record is from RNAcentral.